UGGCUAUAUAUUUCCAUAGUAGGAUAUAUAUAUGGAGAAUACUCAAAAUUAUUUCCUUUUUUUUUCCCUCGUAGUUCCUAUGUCGGGUCAGGCAAGCUAGUAUCAAGUAAGCUAAGCGCGGAAGUACUAUUUCUUCUCAAGCUAUGUAGGGUUAGCCAGUGAAAACUGCGAGAUAAGGCAAGUUUAACAAUCCAGUUUGAGUUGCUUGGAGGUCUAUGCGCCCCAGUUGGAGUGCUUCGUCCUUACAGUUCCAGUGCCAGUUAGAGAAAAAAAGCCCAUCCCUUCCUAAGAAGCUAACGAACUAAGGAUCUCCAGAUCUGACUAAAAAAGCUAGUAAGCUAAAGCUUUCCUCGCUCUUCAUUCGAGACUUUCAUUUCAGUUUCUUUACACAAAAGCAAGUGAGUUAGCUUGUGAGAAAUCAAGCUUUCAAGCAGUCCCCUUAUGAUUAUGAGCUUAUGAGAAGCACCCACCCUGCUGUAGAGUAGUCUCCGUAUCAGUCAUUGCAGGAGUAUUUGCAACAAGCUUGUUUUAAGUAAGCAUGCUAAGAUAAAAUAGAGGUCUUUUCCUUAGGGCUAACGAUAAGAUUUUAGAUUCAACGAUAGAGCUAAUUCCUUCCCUGGGAGGGAUCUAUAUAGAUUUCUUUACUCGGCCAGAUCUAAUGAUAAUUUUUCAUAUUCUUUACCUGGAUAUAAUAUAAUUAUAGUCAAUAUAACUAGAGCAAGGUCUAGGUCACGAGUUAGGGCAGACUAGGGUAAUAUAAUUUUCAAUACAUCUAGUAGAAUAGCCUCUAUUAAUCUUUACCUCAGGGAAAGCAAGCCUCUUGUUUUCAUUUCUACCCUUAGCUUAAUAGGAAUCCUCAUUUGAAUAGGGAGCUAUCGAGCUAAGGGAGGGUAAGGGCUAACAUGCUAUAACGUGGAUCCCGAGGGUACGGAAGAUAAGGAGGGUAACGUACUAGUUGCCUCUAAGUCUUAAGCCUAUCCAGUGUAAGGCGAGUUCCUUCCGGUCGUCUUAAGCUCUUCCUUCUGCUAGCGAGAAAAAGCAAAUGCUAAGGUAAUUCUUUUAAGAAGCCCUUGGAGUUGUCAUCGAUCUAGUUUCAGCCUUCGUAGCAGUAUUUCUUGAUUGAGUAUUUCCUGGUGGCCUCCCUAUUCCUACUCAUGAGAGAAAGUCAAAGCUAGUUGGGAAUGCGAGUUUAUACUUUAAUAAAGAAGAAAAUAUAGUAGUUUCAUAUUUGCGAAGUAAAGGGCAAGCGCAGGAAAGCUUUCUUUAUAGCUUAACUCACUAAAGAUAAAGAAGAAGAAGAGAGGAGGAACUAUUUCAAUUGAGAGAAGCACUCUUUCGGGAAUAGCUGCUUCGCUUCUCUUGCUGCUCCUCCAGUUCCAGGUCAGUCUAAUGGGGGUCGGUCGGGCUAUCCUUUCAAGAGAUCUAACUUUCCUUUCUGCCUUCAAUCCAUAUGUAAUAUUACCUUAGGCAAUCAAUCCGCUUUCAAGCUUGUAUCAAUACCUCUUUUUCCAUCCGGUAGGAGUGCUGAGGCAAUCUAUCCAGUGCGAAAACCAGUUCCUGCCAGCCAAUUUGUUGGGUUUGUGUAAUACCUUUUCUUUUUAAGGCAGAGGCAGUAUAAAGUACUUUACCAUCUUUGGCUGGCUCUAAUGUUGAACCAGUAAGUGUCCCU
Molecule: long non-coding RNA, 1669 nt
Filed under: Ricinus communis (castor bean)
Lineage: Eukaryota; Viridiplantae; Streptophyta; Magnoliopsida; Malpighiales; Euphorbiaceae
Description: long non-coding RNA (RCOM_LNC003450)
Source: RNAcentral